CCAGACUCCUACGGGAGGCAGCAGUGAGGAAUAUUGGUCAAUGGCCGAGAGGCUGAACCAGCCAAGUCGCGUGAGGGAAGACGGCCCUACGGGUUGUAAACCUCUUUUGUCGGGGAGCAAAGCGAGUCACGUGUGACUCAUUGAGAGUACCCGAAGAAAAAGCAUCGGCUAACUCCGUGCCGGCAGCCGCGGUAAUACGGAGGAUGCGAGCGUUAUCCGGAUUUAUUGGGUUUAAAGGGUGCGCAGGCGGGGAGUUAAGUCAGCGGUAAAAUUUGGGGGCUCAACCCCGACAAGCCGUUGAAACUGGCUUGCUAGAGUGGGCGAGAAGUAUGCGGAAUGCGUGGUGUAGCGGUGAAAUGCAUAGAUAUCACGAAGAACUCCGAUUGCGAAGGCAGCUUACCAGUCUGCGACUGACGCUCAGGCACGAAAGUGUGGGUAUCGAACAGGAUUAGAUACCCCAGUA
This 463-nucleotide ribosomal RNA is filed under the name uncultured bacterium. RNAcentral describes it as "bacterial SSU rRNA". It matches the Rfam family "Bacterial small subunit ribosomal RNA", at positions 331 to 792 of the family's 1533-position model. The record is from RNAcentral.